Molecule: ribosomal RNA, 492 nt
Filed under: uncultured bacterium
Lineage: Bacteria
Description: partial 16S ribosomal RNA
Rfam family: Bacterial small subunit ribosomal RNA
Source: RNAcentral
AGUGAACGCUGGCGGUAGGCCUAACACAUGCAAGUCGAACGGCAGCACAGUAAGAGCUUGCUCUUACGGGUGGCGAGUGGCGGACGGGUGAGGAAUACAUCGGAAUCUACAUUUUCGUGGGGGAUAACGUAGGGAAACUUACGCUAAUACCGCAUACGACCUACGGGUGAAAGCAGGGGAUCUUCGGACCUUGCGCGAUUGAAUGAGCCGAUGUCGGAUUAGCUAGUUGGCGGGGUAAAGGCCCACCAAGGCGACGAUCCGUAGCUGGUCUGAGAGGAUGAUCAGCCACACUGGAACUGAGACACGGUCCAGACUCCUACGGGAGGCAGCAGUGGGGAAUAUUGGACAAUGGGCGCAAGCCUGAUCCAGCCAUACCGCGUGGGUGAAGAAGGCCUUCGGGUUGUAAAGCCCUUUUGUCGGGAAAGAAAAGCAGCAGGUUAAUACCCCGCUGUUCUGACGGUACCCAAAGAAUAAGCACCGGCUAACUUCGUG